GAUGAAGAACGUAGCGAAAUGCGAUAAGUAAUGUGAAUUGCAGAAUUCAGUGAAUCAUCGAAUCUUUGAACGCACAUUGCGCCCGCCAGUAUUCUGGCGGGCAUGCCUGUUCGAGCGUCAUUUCAACCCUCAGGCCCCCAGUGCCUGGCGUUGGGGAUCGGCGCGGCGCCCUCCGGGGCGCUGCCGGCCCCGAAAUUCAGUGGCGGUCUCGCUGUAGCCCUCCUCCGCGUAGUAGCACAACCUCGCGGCCUGGAGCUCGGCGGUGGCCAUGCCGUAAAACACCCCACUGCUGAAAGUUGACCUCGGAUCAGGUAGGAAUACCCGCUGAACUUAAGCAUAUCAAUAAGCGGAGGA
RNAcentral lists this unclassified non-coding RNA (354 nucleotides) under soil metagenome. RNAcentral's name for it is "partial contains 5.8S ribosomal RNA, internal transcribed spacer 2, and large subunit ribosomal RNA". The stretch from base 1 to 120 matches the Rfam family "5.8S ribosomal RNA", at positions 35 to 154 of the family's 154-position model. The record is from RNAcentral.